UCAAAAUAUUUUUUAUUAUUCAUAUUCUUAUUGCGCAUGCGCUGAAUCAAACAACUCUGACGUAACGAGGCUAUACGCCAUCAUAGCCACGGUGUAAUUUUAAUCACGUUUAUAAUUCGGAGUGUUUUUCUGAUUCUUUGUAAGCUGGUACACAAGAUAAGUUGCAAGAAAAUAACGAUUAAGUAAUCCAUUGAUUAUUGUAGAUAAUAAUGUUGAAAUUUGUGAAUACUAACAAAGAGAAUGACCACUAAUAUUUCUUGUGAGAGGAUCCACCGUCAAAAGCUUGAAUCAAGAUCUUCUAAGUUGGAAGGAAAAAUUUUCCUCUAUUAAUGAUGACAGCAAAAGUUUUAAGAGUAAUAGUAUCAGCCGAGGUACUCUUCGAGGUAACCCUCAACUCCAGAUCUGAAGGUUAAAAAACAGGAAUAUGUCUAAAGUCUUGUCCAAAAGCUAAAAUGAAAUUGACAGUAUACAAUGAUUAGCUACCAAAAUUUUUUUCGAGACCGAUAGAGUGAUUUUUUCUACUAAAAUUCAUUGGUACUGACAAGCGUGAACAUCUAUAAGUUUGGAACCUCUUAUUGAAAUAAGCAAGUACUGCAUUACCUAAAUACUAGGAAUAACAUGAUAACAAUGGCUUUAGGCGAGAAAAGUAUAAUCUAUAAGCUUUCAUGGUCACCAAAAGUGAACAAAUUUGCAGUACUUUAUCUAUUUUUAUACCCCUUAAAGUUGCUACUUUCAAAUAAUUGUGACUCGAUGUUUGAGUUCAAAAGAGAGCAUUGUAAUAACAUUCAUUACAACCCGCACACUAAUAUUUUAUUACUUGGUGGAUUUAUAAUCUUUUCCGAAAAGGCACUACUGUGGAACAUGACUCGGGAGGAAUUCGUUGUUCAAGAUAACACCACAGGUUCAACGUUGCUUUAUUGGUUAGCACUUUAUGAUCGCUAUCACUGCUCAAGGAUUACGAAUGGUUAACCGUUUAAAAAUUUGCAAUAUACCAGAGCUUUGCUGUACGAGAGUCCGUAGGACUAACAGAAAAAACUGUCGGAAAUGUUUUAGUAACGGUUUCUGAUCUUGCUAAUUAUCUUGUGAAUAAUCUUGAAUUGCAAGUAUAUGAUUAAUUUUCAAAAGCAUAACGAUAACGACACUGCAAGGAGACUACUGGAAUAUGUUCACAUAAGUGGUGUUCAAGGUCAAGAAAAAUUAAGAUAUUGCAUAGAGAAUGGUUUUCAGUUUCUUAUUCAGAAAGAAACAAUUUGGUAUUGAAUAUUGUGUGGCAGGCCAAAGAAAAGGCUAUCCGAUUGAUGCAGUAAAUAAACGGAUGUGUCUAAAAAAAUGAACAACUAUAUGUAACCAGGGCAUAAAUUUGAUGAAUUUUGAUUUAAAUAACACACUUCACACAAAGGCUAAAACUUCGACAAUCUUAGGUUGUUAAAACUAUCUAAAUAUUUGUUGCAGAAAAAAUAUUGUAAAAUUGCUGAGGAAUACCAGA
Molecule: long non-coding RNA, 1486 nt
Organism: Cotesia glomerata
Lineage: Eukaryota; Metazoa; Arthropoda; Insecta; Hymenoptera; Braconidae
Exons: 4
Source: RefSeq, a predicted model, not a curated record